Molecule: ribosomal RNA, 493 nt
Filed under: uncultured bacterium
Lineage: Bacteria
Description: bacterial SSU rRNA
Rfam family: Bacterial small subunit ribosomal RNA
Source: RNAcentral
AUGAACGCUAGCGACAGGCCUAACACAUGCAAGUCGAGGGCAGCACAAGGAGCAAUCUGAGGUGGCGACCGGCGCACGGGUGAGUAACACGUAUGCAACCUGCCUGUAAGCGGGGAAUAACCCGUUGAAAGACGGACUAAUACCGCAUAAUACUAAAUUACUGCAUGGUAAUUAUUUAAACAUUUAUGGCUUACAGAUGGGCAUGCGCAUGAUUAGCUAGUUGGAGAGGUAACGGCUCCCCAAGGCAACGAUCAUUAGGGGUUCUGAGAGGAAGGUCCCCACACUGGUACUGAGACACGGACCAGACUCCUACGGGAGGCAGCAGUGAGGAAUAUUGGUCAAUGGACGAGAGUCUGAACCAGCCAAGUCGCGUGCAGGAAGAAUGUCCUAAUGGAUUGUAAACUGCUUUUGCAGGGGUAAUAAAGUGCAUCACGUGUGAUGUUUUGUAUGUACUCUGCGAAUAAGGAUCGGCUAACUCCGUGCCAGCAGCUGC